AAUCCAAUGAUUUAAAAAAAAGUUUUUUUCUCAUUUGCUUCUGACUUGGUAAGAGCUGUUUGCAAAGAGGGUCUGUGUUCAGGUACUUUGGAUGAAGGGGCAGGGAACGGAGGGGGUAUGUUCGAUUUCUCCCCCUUAAGGUCUCUCUUCCAUUCUGUUUCCCAAUCGCCCUGUUCAGUUUCUGCCAUUCCGGCUCCGAUUUGAGCCAAGAUGGCCGCCGCGUUCUCGUUCAGUUGUAGAAAGGAAAAUUUUGCAUGCAGUCCAUUCAUGAGGCUUCCGCUAAGUGGCUCUACUACAGUUAAGGAAGAGAAUUCAAUGUUCAGCUUAGUGUUUUCAGUUACGCUCUUGACCACUGGAGGGCGACAUAGGCCCUCAGUUGAGUUGACUUCUCUAGAAGUGUCAGUUUCAGUUCAGUGAUUUUUAACAAAGGAGACCAGCCAUUUCGGAGCACUUUUGGCCUCUACAUCCCCCUACCCACUACAUUAGUGCGUCAGUGAAUCCUUGAAGUUUAUGAAAACCACGGACCAAGCAUAGACAAACUUAACAUUCACUUCCGGGUGCUCUUUACACUUUACUAGGCCUAGUUUGAUUGAUGAAGUGGACAAGUGUUUGAUUCUCUUGCCUUUAUGACUAUGGAACACAGAUUGUGUUUCCUCUGGUGUUCCCUCCGGUGUUCCCUCCAAGCAAUAGGACAGGCUUUUGAUUGGACUAGCUGGCUUUCCCUCCCCCCUCUUCAUCCACAAGUGAUACUGAUUAUUUUCUGAAAUCGGUGUUUGUCCUUUUUUCUACCAGUGUAUGUACCUGUGAUUGGUAAUCUCGGCGUGGGUGGGAGGGAAGGGGGUGGAGUACUGUAUGGAACUGGGAGUCCUGAGGGAAUGGAAUUCGAUCCCUGUGGACUUCCAUGGUGGGACUGGUACUCUGAUGCAGUCUGAAUUUGUCGGGAUCUUAAUCUGAAUCAUAGUCGGGAACGUAUGCGUUUCAACAGGGGUGAUUUUGAAUUGACUGGACUGUAUCACCUGCAUUGGAUACAGGUGUUGGCAAUACACUGUUGAAAUCCAUGCAGUUGGUCUCUCCCAUCAUCGCCUCAUGACAUGGUGACUUUGUCCACUACCAUCAUAUCCUAUUGAUUUACCUGUCGUCCGGUCAAUUCAAACAUACCAGGACUCCUGGGAGUGUGUGUGUGUGUGUGUGUGUGUGUGUGUGUGUGUGUGUGUGUGUGUGUGUGUGUGUGUGUGUGUGUGUGUGUGUCGUAGGAGAGACAGGGUUUUCUUGAGUUGAAGAAAAGACUGGACAGGGUGUCUGGGGAAAAGGAAGGAUUAAAAUUGCCACUGUAUUGAAAUCAAUCCAAUAUGUCAUUCUCUGUAUGUUUUGUUUUUUUGACUUGAGAAAAAAAUAAAGUUUUACUACAGGUUG
Long non-coding RNA from Oncorhynchus tshawytscha (Chinook salmon), 1413 nucleotides. The record is from Ensembl. NCBI's taxonomy places the organism in Eukaryota, Metazoa, Chordata, Actinopteri, Salmoniformes, Salmonidae.